Molecule: ribosomal RNA, 212 nt
Filed under: Trachyrincus murrayi (roughnose grenadier)
Lineage: Eukaryota; Metazoa; Chordata; Actinopteri; Gadiformes; Macrouridae
Description: partial 28S ribosomal RNA
Source: RNAcentral
CCGGCUAUACGAUUGGUUCNGGAUAGCCGACCCUCCCGGGGGCCGGCGAGGAAAGACAUUUGAUACUGGCYUGGGGUGCGGCCGAAUGAUGGUCGCCCCUCUCCGAGAUCACAACUCAUGUUUAUGAAAGACUGGGUGUUAAACCACUUGCAUACGACCUGAUUCUGGGUCAGGGUGUCGUAAGUAGCAGAGCAGCUUUAUGACUGCGAUCU